Molecule: long non-coding RNA, 488 nt
Organism: Peromyscus eremicus (cactus mouse)
Lineage: Eukaryota; Metazoa; Chordata; Mammalia; Rodentia; Cricetidae
Exons: 3
Source: RefSeq, a predicted model, not a curated record
GGGACCACACCUCAUCAUCCUUACCACCCUCACUGCUGUCAAAGGUAUACUGUGUCUGCACCUGGAGACAUCACUCCCAGGUCAGUGUAUCUCUGGGGAUGAUGACCCUGCUGCAGAAAAAUGGACCGUCACCAAGGCCUGAGAAGAUCCACUGAAGAUAAGACUGACAAGGUAUUUAUGAACUGAUGUCUGUAGGAAUUUGGACUUCAUAUUGUUCUUCUCUGGUAACAUGAUCUCGUGAGAAAUUAAACUGUUUCAGAGACGGCAGAUUCCUGAAGAAUGGCGACUGUGUCUCACAAGGCUUACGAGAUAUUUCAAGCGAGGCUUCACACCCUUGUUCCUCUGUUGCUUCUUAUUGUGUGGGCUUUGGAAGGCUGCUGGCAUAUGCUCUCCAUAAUCUCAGCUACUGGCCUACAUUCCUAUGGUCCUGACGCUCAUGGGCAAUAAGAUCAGCUAUGGGAUCAUUUUACUAAAAUAAGUCUGACUGU